This 450-nucleotide ribosomal RNA is filed under the name uncultured bacterium. Its description in RNAcentral is "partial 16S ribosomal RNA". It matches the Rfam family "Bacterial small subunit ribosomal RNA", at positions 354 to 796 of the family's 1533-position model. The record is from RNAcentral.
GUGGGGAAUAUUGGACAAUGGGCGAAAGCCUGAUCCAGCCAUGCCGCGUGUGUGAAGAAGGUCUUCGGAUUGUAAAGCACUUUAAGUUGGGAGGAAGGGCAGUAAGUUAAUACCUUGCUGUUUUGACGUUACCGACAGAAUAAGCACCGGCUAACUUCGUGCCAGCAGCCGCGGUAAUACGAAGGGUGCAAGCGUUAAUCGGAAUUACUGGGCGUAAAGCGCGAGUAGGUGGUUUUGUAAGUUGGAGGUGAAAUCACCGGGCUCAACCUGGGAACUGCAUCAAAAACUGCAUGGCUAGAGUACGGUAGAGGGUAGGGGAAUUUCCUGUGUAGCGGUGAAAUGCGUAGAUAUAGGAAGGAACACCAGUGGCGAAGGCGACUACCUGGACUGAUACUGACACUGAGGUGCGAAAGCGUGGGGAGCAAACAGGAUUAGAUACCCUAGUAGUCC